UGGCAGGCUAGGCGGGUGGCUAGUCCUCACUUGCACCAUAAAUGGACUAUACGAUGGGCUGAAGUCUGGAAGAGGUAUACAAUGUUGUUCAAAGUCCUACUUGGACAAUGACACUUCGUCCUCUUGGGUUUGUAUGUAUAUCAAUCGAGUCAGGCCAGGAAUGGAGCAGCUCUACGUAUCUGUGCGAGCGUCUUGAGGGUCGCGACGUGGAGAAAAAGUUUGGAUCAAACUUUGGGUGCAUAGCGUAUCCAUUUCAGAUGGCCUGCCA
This 268-nucleotide signal recognition particle RNA is filed under the name Nanobdellota archaeon. Its description in RNAcentral is "signal recognition particle sRNA". It matches the Rfam family "Archaeal signal recognition particle RNA". RNAcentral also lists the same sequence under 1 other name. The record is from RNAcentral. Lineage: Archaea; Nanobdellati; Nanobdellota.